Long non-coding RNA from Papaver somniferum (opium poppy), 1082 nucleotides. RefSeq lists it as uncharacterized. Lineage: Eukaryota; Viridiplantae; Streptophyta; Magnoliopsida; Ranunculales; Papaveraceae. The record is from RefSeq and is a predicted model, not a curated record. The transcript has 3 exons.
GCCAGAAUUCUAUGAUCAAAAAGCUUGAUAAUAAAGAUGAGUUAUGGGUCCACAUGGAAAGAAAGGGUCGCGACUCCUGACGACUCGGAUGCGGUUCUUACUUAUCCAGCUUGUUUAACCCUUUGCAUAGAAUGUCACAGGCAUGAAAAAUACCCUACACAAUACCGAAUACAUUGUCAACUGCAAGAUCUAGAUUAAUCAAGUUCCGACCAAACUGUCAAAAACCAAAGACCAGCAAUAGACCUUGAUGAGAUAGUGGUGGAAUUGAUGAAGUGGGUGCCUCAACUAAGGAAACAUUUCAACCUGUGUGUUGCAUAGUAUUGCAACAUGAGGCGAAUGUAUGAGGAAGCAGGUUGAAAUGUUUCCUUAGAACUUGGAAGGAAUGAGCACUCAACUGCUUCACCGAGUGUGGAAGUAGAAAGGGAAAACGAAGAAGAAGAAGAAAUGGCAUCUCCAACUGCUUCACAGAAGGCAGGCAUGAAAUUUGAGGGGAUGAAAUUUGCAACUGCAAGAUCAAGAUUAAUCAAAUUCUGCGGCCAAGUUAUUAAGAACCAAAAACCAGUAAUAAAGGUGGAAAAGCUAGUGGUGGAUAACACCUAUAUCUCUAGCUUGGUUCUUCGCUCGUUCAAUCCCUGAAUGCUCCACCAUUUGAAGUCGGCUCCAGCCAAGAUCUUACAGAAGAAGCGAAAAGACCAUGCACCCGCUCCUUUCCUAGCAAAGAGACCCAACUUGCAUCUGUUUAUUCAGGUAUCAUUUGUUCUUCAGCUUCAUUGAUGAAGUGGAUGCCUCAACACGGAAAUAUUUAAGCUUGUGUUUUGCAUAGUUUGUUCAACUGAAGUUAAUGUCAUCGAAGAUGAUGAGGUUUAUCGUUUCUUCAAUAUUCUUCAUAGUGAGUCCUAAUCUUUCUUGAAAAUUUACAUUUCAUAGAAAUUUUACUUGUUUACAUGCUCAAUCUCAGUAGCUAGUUGUAGUACACAUGAAAAAUGAAGAAACAGAAACCGGAUACCCAUAAAUUCAUUUUUCUUAGUCCCGUUUCUUGUUUCCAUUGUUCAUCGUAUGAUCUUGGGUUCUAUAUCAAAAUA